UCAAACUUGGUCAUUUAGAGGAAGUAAAAGUCGUAACAAGGUUUCCGUAGGUGAACCUGCGGAAGGAUCAUUAACAAAUUAAGGAUUACCAAUCCUUAAACCCCCAUCUGCGUACUCGUACAUGUUGCUUCCGUGGAAUGUUGAUCAUUCGAUCCGCGUUCUCUUUAAUUGAGAUCCCACGGAAGUUAUUUCCAAAUCCAUGUUAUUCAAUGCCUGUCAGAGAAAUUGGUUUAUCAUAACUGUUAAAACUUUCAACAACGGAUCUCUUGGUUCUCGCAUCGAUGAAGAACGCAGC
RNAcentral lists this unclassified non-coding RNA (295 nucleotides) under uncultured fungus. RNAcentral's name for it is "partial contains small subunit ribosomal RNA, internal transcribed spacer 1, and 5.8S ribosomal RNA". The stretch from base 1 to 73 matches the Rfam family "Eukaryotic small subunit ribosomal RNA", at positions 1759 to 1831 of the family's 1831-position model. Lineage: Eukaryota; Fungi. The record is from RNAcentral.